AACGAACGCUGGCGGCAUGCCUAACACAUGCAAGUCGAACGAUUGCCGUCGGGUUUGAGUGGCGCACGGGUUCGUAACGCGUUGGAAACUGCCCUGAGGACCGGACUAACAGCUGGGAACGGCUGCUAAUACCGGAUGCUAUCGCGGGAUCAAAGUAUUAUCGCCAGUGGAUGAGCCUGCGUUGUACUAGGGAGUCGGUGGGGUAAAGGCCUACCAGGCCGACGAUCCAUAGCUGGUCUGAGAGGCUGAUCAGCCACACUGGGUAUGCGACACGACCCAGACUUCUACGAGAGGCAGCAGUGUGGAAUAGUGGAGACUGGGCGGAGGCGUGAUUCAGCAAUGCGUCGUGAGCUAUUGAGGCCCUAGAGUUGGUAUGCGCUUUUAACGGUGAAGAUGAGGCCUGUACCGGCAGAAUAAGCCCCGGCAAACUCGGU
This 434-nucleotide ribosomal RNA is filed under the name uncultured bacterium. RNAcentral describes it as "partial 16S ribosomal RNA". It matches the Rfam family "Bacterial small subunit ribosomal RNA", at positions 29 to 506 of the family's 1533-position model. The record is from RNAcentral.